Molecule: ribosomal RNA, 362 nt
Filed under: uncultured bacterium
Lineage: Bacteria
Description: bacterial SSU rRNA
Rfam family: Bacterial small subunit ribosomal RNA
Source: RNAcentral
AAGCGUUGUCCGGAUUUAUUGGGCGUAAAGAGCGUGUAGGCGGCUUGGUAGGUCCGCUGUGAAAACUCGAGGCUCAACCUCGAGAUGUCGGCGGAAACCACUUGGCUAGAGUCCGGAAGAGGAGAGUGGAAUUCCUGGUGUAGCGGUGAAAUGCGCAGAUAUCAGGAAGAACACCUAUGGCGAAGGCAGCUCUCUGGGACGGUACUGACGCUGGGACGCGAAAGCGUGGGGAGCGAACAGGAUUAGAUACCCUGGUAGUCCACGCCGUAAACGAUGGGUGCUAGGUGUGGGCGGUGUCGACUCCGUCCGUGCCGAAGCUAACGCAUUAAGCACCCCGCCUGGGGAGUACGGCCGCAAGGCUA